This is a non-coding RNA of Podarcis lilfordi (Lilford's wall lizard), 167 nucleotides long. The record is from the annotation of a GenBank genome assembly. NCBI's taxonomy places the organism in Eukaryota, Metazoa, Chordata, Lepidosauria, Squamata, Lacertidae.
GGAGGUCACUGCCAGUAACAGAGAGGGAGAGGGGCAAUGCGGCAGGGAGGCUGGCAUGGUGCAGGCGUAGCGGUGGGAAUGUUGGAUUGGCUUUGCCACUGCGCCAACACCACAGUGACCUCUCUGCUGCCUUUCCUCUCUCCUUGUUGGUUACUGGCAGCAACUUA